GCAGUCAUUGUAACUGGUGUAUAGUUGUGCUGGGUCUUACUAUCAUCUUACUGGUUGUCCUACUUCUGUAAAAAAGUCAUGUCAUUCCUGAGUUAUUCAGUUGGAUCGAGUCAAAUACAUUUGCUGUAUACAUUGUGCAACGAUGACAACACAAGGCACAAAAGUCAGAUGGUAUGUAAAGACCAAUUUUCUUUUUCUAAUCCUGUGGAAAUGGACAGCAUAUCUGAGCACAGCCCUACUCAUGGUGAUACAAUUUAUAUGAACCUUUAAAGAAAACAUCAGGUCAUGCAUAGACAGUUUCUUAGUUGUACUGCAUGGCUAUGCCUAGAGAAUGAUCAUGUCAAAUUUUGAUUUUAGGGAUGGAGGUUUAUAUGUUGGAAGUACUCUAGCAUCCAUACACAGAAGCAACAAGUCUUGUCCAAUAGAUGGUGCAUGCAUGCAUGCAGCUCUGCGAAGUCUUGUGGAGCGAGUCGCAGAAGACUCAGAAGAGCUAAAUAAUAUGACAAAGCAAUUUGCGGUACAGUGCACAGUAUCUUUUUGUGCAGUUGCUUAAAAUUAGCAUUUUAGGCAACAGUGUGAGACACCAUCCAAUAUGAUAUAACAAUACGGGAUUUACAGGCGA
Corticium candelabrum is the source of this 622-nucleotide long non-coding RNA. RefSeq lists it as uncharacterized. NCBI's taxonomy places the organism in Eukaryota, Metazoa, Porifera, Homoscleromorpha, Homosclerophorida, Plakinidae. The record is from RefSeq and is a predicted model, not a curated record. The transcript has 2 exons.